AUUCCAGCUCCAAUAGCGUAUAUUAAAGUUGUUGCAGUUAAAAAGCUCGUAGUUGGAUUUCUGGCGGGGACCCGGGUACCCCUGGUGGGUGUGCUCGGGCCCGGCCAUCCUUCUGUCAACUUUCGCGCGUCCUUCACCGGUCGGCAAAGGGAUCAGAUAAUUUACCUUGAGAAAAUUAGAGUGUUUCAGGCAGGCUUAGCCGGAAUACAUUAGCAUGGAAUAAUGGAAUAGGACUGAGGUCUCGUUGUUGGUUACGCGGACUACAGUAAUGAUUAAUAGGGACAGUUGGGGGCAUUAGUAUUUAUUAGCUAGAGGUGGAAUUCUCUAAUUUGAUAAAGACUAACUUAUGCGAAAGCAUUUGCCAAGGAUGUUUUCAUUG
Molecule: ribosomal RNA, 379 nt
Filed under: Strombidiidae sp.
Lineage: Eukaryota; Ciliophora; Spirotrichea; Strombidiidae
Description: partial small subunit ribosomal RNA
Rfam family: Eukaryotic small subunit ribosomal RNA
Source: RNAcentral